Molecule: unclassified non-coding RNA, 254 nt
Filed under: uncultured Patescibacteria group bacterium
Lineage: Bacteria
Description: contains 16S-23S intergenic spacer region
Rfam family: Bacterial small subunit ribosomal RNA
Source: RNAcentral
UACGUAGGUGGCAAGCGUUGUCCGGAAUUAUUGGGCGUAAAGGGUUCGCAGGCUUUCCGUUAAGUUUUUGUUCAAAGCCCGAGGCUCAACCUCGGAAGGGGGUGUAAUACUGCUAGGCUUUGAAGAAUAUCGGGGCUAUUGGAACUUACUAUGUAGGAGUGAAAUCCGUUGAUAUGGUAAGGAACACCGAGGGCGAAGGCGGAUAGCUAGGUAUUUCUUGACGCUAAGGAACGAAAGCUAGGGUAGCGAAAGGG